CUUGCGAUAGUUCAGUUGGCAGAGCGGGGGACUAUAGUUCCUUAGGUCGUUGGCUCGAACCCAGCUCGCAAGA
This is a non-coding RNA of Paramuricea clavata, 73 nucleotides long. The record is from the annotation of a GenBank genome assembly. Lineage: Eukaryota; Metazoa; Cnidaria; Anthozoa; Malacalcyonacea; Plexauridae.